GGGUUGUGAGGUUAAGCGACUAAGCGUACACGGUGGAUGCCCUGGCAGUCAGAGGCGAUGAAGGACGUGCUAAUCUGCGAUAAGCGUCGGUAAGGUGAUAUGAACCGUUAUAACCGGCGAUUUCCGAAUGGGGAAACCCAGUGUGUUUCGACACACUAUCAUUAACUGAAUCCAUAGGUUAAUGAGGCGAACCGGGGGAACUGAAACAUCUAAGUACCCCGAGGAAAAGAAAUCAACCGAGAUUCCCCCAGUAGCGGCGAGCGAACGGGGAGCAGCCCAGAGCCUGAAUCAGUGUGUGUGUUAGUGGAAGCGUCUGGAAAGGCGCGCGAUACAGGGUGACAGCCCCGUACACAAAAAUGCACAUACUGUGAGCUCGAUGAGUAGGGCGGGACACGUGGUAUCCUGUCUGAAUAUGGGGGGACCAUCCUCCAAGGCUAAAUACUCCUGACUGACCGAUAGUGAACCAGUACCGUGAGGGAAAGGCGAAAAGAACCCCGGCGAGGGGAGUGAAAAAGAACCUGAAACCGUGUACGUACAAGCAGUGGGAGCCUCUUUAUGGGGUGACUGCGUACCUUUUGUAUAAUGGGUCAGCGACUUAUAUUCUGUAGCAAGGUUAACCGAAUAGGGGAGCCGAAGGGAAACCGAGUCUUAACUGGGCGUUAAGUUGCAGGGUAUAGACCCGAAACCCGGUGAUCUAGCCAUGGGCAGGUUGAAGGUUGGGUAACACUAACUGGAGGACCGAACCGACUAAUGUUGAAAAAUUAGCGGAUGACUUGUGGCUGGGGGUGAAAGGCCAAUCAAACCGGGAGAUAGCUGGUUCUCCCCGAAAGCUAUUUAGGUAGCGCCUCGUGAAUUCAUCUCCGGGGGUAGAGCACUGUUUCGGCAAGGGGGUCAUCCCGACUUACCAACCCGAUGCAAACUGCGAAUACCGGAGAAUGUUAUCACGGGAGACACACGGCGGGUGCUAACGUCCGUCGUGAAGAGGGAAACAACCCAGACCGCCAGCUAAGGUCCCAAAGUCAUGGUUAAGUGGGAAACGAUGUGGGAAGGCCCAGACAGCCAGGAUGUUGGCUUAGAAGCAGCCAUCAUUUAAAGAAAGCGUAAUAGCUCACUGGUCGAGUCGGCCUGCGCGGAAGAUGUAACGGGGCUAAACCAUGCACCGAAGCUGCGGCAGCGACACUGUGUGUUGUUGGGUAGGGGAGCGUUCUGUAAGCCUGUGAAGGUGUACUGUGAGGUAUGCUGGAGGUAUCAGAAGUGCGAAUGCUGACAUAAGUAACGAUAAAGCGGGUGAAAAGCCCGCUCGCCGGAAGACCAAGGGUUCCUGUCCAACGUUAAUCGGGGCAGGGUGAGUCGACCCCUAAGGCGAGGCCGAAAGGCGUAGUCGAUGGGAAACAGGUUAAUAUUCCUGUACUUGGUGUUACUGCGAAGGGGGGACGGAGAAGGCUAUGUUGGCCGGGCGACGGUUGUCCCGGUUUAAGCGUGUAGGCUGAUUUUCCAGGCAAAUCCGGAAAAUCAAGGCUGAGGCGUGAUGACGAGGCACUACGGUGCUGAAGCAACAAAUGCCCUGCUUCCAGGAAAAGCCUCUAAGCAUCAGGUAACAUCAAAUCGUACCCCAAACCGACACAGGUGGUCAGGUAGAGAAUACCAAGGCGCUUGAGAGAACUCGGGUGAAGGAACUAGGCAAAAUGGUGCCGUAACUUCGGGAGAAGGCACGCUGAUAUGUAGGUGAAGUCCCUCGCGGAUGGAGCUGAAAUCAGUCGAAGAUACCAGCUGGCUGCAACUGUUUAUUAAAAACACAGCACUGUGCAAACACGAAAGUGGACGUAUACGGUGUGACGCCUGCCCGGUGCCGGAAGGUUAAUUGAUGGGGUUAGCGGUAACGCGAAGCUCUUGAUCGAAGCCCCGGUAAACGGCGGCCGUAACUAUAACGGUCCUAAGGUAGCGAAAUUCCUUGUCGGGUAAGUUCCGACCUGCACGAAUGGCGUAAUGAUGGCCAGGCUGUCUCCACCCGAGACUCAGUGAAAUUGAACUCGCUGUGAAGAUGCAGUGUACCCGCGGCAAGACGGAAAGACCCCGUGAACCUUUACUAUAGCUUGACACUGAACAUUGAGCCUUGAUGUGUAGGAUAGGUGGGAGGCUUUGAAGUGUGGACGCCAGUCUGCAUGGAGCCGACCUUGAAAUACCACCCUUUAAUGUUUGAUGUUCUAACGUUGGCCCCUGAUCGGGGUUGCGGACAGUGUCUGGUGGGUAGUUUGACUGGGGCGGUCUCCUCCUAAAGAGUAACGGAGGAGCACGAAGGUUGGCUAAUCCUGGUCGGACAUCAGGAGGUUAGUGCAAUGGCAUAAGCCAGCUUGACUGCGAGCGUGACGGCGCGAGCAGGUGCGAAAGCAGGUCAUAGUGAUCCGGUGGUUCUGAAUGGAAGGGCCAUCGCUCAACGGAUAAAAGGUACUCCGGGGAUAACAGGCUGAUACCGCCCAAGAGUUCAUAUCGACGGCGGUGUUUGGCACCUCGAUGUCGGCUCAUCACAUCCUGGGGCUGAAGUAGGUCCCAAGGGUAUGGCUGUUCGCCAUUUAAAGUGGUACGCGAGCUGGGUUUAGAACGUCGUGAGACAGUUCGGUCCCUAUCUGCCGUGGGCGCUGGAGAACUGAGGGGGGCUGCUCCUAGUACGAGAGGACCGGAGUGGACGCAUCACUGGUGUUCGGGUUGUCAUGCCAAUGGCACUGCCCGGUAGCUAAAUGCGGAAGAGAUAAGUGCUGAAAGCAUCUAAGCACGAAACUUGCCCCGAGAUGAGUUCUCCCUGACUCCUUGAGAGUCCUGAAGGAACGUUGAAGACGACGACGUUGAUAGGCCGGGUGUGUAAGCGCAGCGAUGCGUUGAGCUAACCGGUACUAAUGAACCGUGAGGCUUAACCUUACAACGCCGAAG
This 2925-nucleotide ribosomal RNA is filed under the name Escherichia coli. RNAcentral's name for it is "23S ribosomal RNA". It matches the Rfam family "Bacterial large subunit ribosomal RNA". Lineage: Bacteria; Pseudomonadati; Pseudomonadota; Gammaproteobacteria; Enterobacterales; Enterobacteriaceae. The record is from RNAcentral.